UACGUAGGGACCAAGCGUUGUCCGGAAUCAUUGGGCGUAAAGCGCGCGUAGGUGGCCAUUUAAGUCCGCUGUGAAAGUCAGAGGCUCAACCUUUGAAAGCCGGUGGAUACUGGAUGGCUAGAGUACGGAAGAGGCGAGUGGAAUUCCUGGUGUAGCGGUGGAAUGCGCAGAUAUCAGGAGGAACACCGGUGGCGAAGGCGGGUCUCUGGACGCAACAACUGACGCUGAGGAGCGAAAGCGUGGGAGCGAACAGG
RNAcentral lists this ribosomal RNA (254 nucleotides) under uncultured bacterium. Its description in RNAcentral is "partial 16S ribosomal RNA". It matches the Rfam family "Bacterial small subunit ribosomal RNA", at positions 524 to 776 of the family's 1533-position model. The record is from RNAcentral.